GAUGAACGCUAGCUACAGGCUUAACACAUGCAAGUCGCGGGGCAGCAUGGGGGUUGCUUGCAAUCCCCGAUGGCGACCGGCGCACGGGUGAGUAACGCGUAUCCAACCUGCCCUUCACCACGGGAUAACCCGGCGAAAGUCGGACUGAUACCGUAUGUUGUCCAUUGACGGCAUCCGAUUUGGACGAAAGGUUUGGCGGUGAAGGAUGGGGAUGCGUCCGAUUAGCUGGACGGCGGGGUGACGGCCCACCGUGGCGACGAUCGGUAGGGGUUCUGAGAGGAAGGUCCCCCACACUGGAACUGAGACACGGUCCAGACUCCUACGGGAGGCAGCAGUGAGGAAUAUUGGUCAAUGGGCGUAAGCCUGAACCAGCCAAGUAGCGUGCAGGAUGACGGCCCUAUGGGUUGUAAACUGCUUUUAUGCGGGGAUAAAGUGGCCCACGUGUGGGUUUUUGCAGGUACCGCAUGAAUAAGGACCGGCUAAUUCCGUG
Molecule: ribosomal RNA, 490 nt
Filed under: uncultured bacterium
Lineage: Bacteria
Description: partial 16S ribosomal RNA
Rfam family: Bacterial small subunit ribosomal RNA
Source: RNAcentral